RNAcentral lists this ribosomal RNA (468 nucleotides) under uncultured bacterium. RNAcentral's name for it is "partial 16S ribosomal RNA". It matches the Rfam family "Bacterial small subunit ribosomal RNA", at positions 28 to 507 of the family's 1533-position model. The record is from RNAcentral.
GACGAACGCUGGCGGCGUGCUUAACACAUGCAAGUCGAACGGAAAGGCCCUGCUUUUGUGGGGUGCUCGAGUGGCGAACGGGUGAGUAACACGUGAGUAACCUGCCCUUGACUUUGGGAUAACUUCAGGAAAAUGGGGCUAAUAUCGGAUAGGAGCUCCUGCUGCAUGGUGGGGGUUGGAAAGUUUCGGCGGUUGGGGAUGGACUCGCGGCUUAUCAGCUUGUUGGUGGGGUAGUGGCUUCCCAAGGUUUUGACGGGUAGCCGGCCUGAGAGGGUGACCGGCCACAUUGGGACUGAGGUACGGCCCAGACGCCUACGGGAGGCAGCAGUGGGGAAUAUUGCACAAUGGGCGGAAGCCUGAUGCAGCAACGCCGCGUGCGGGAUGACGGCCUUCGGGUUGUAAACCGCUUUCGCCUGUGACGAAGCGUGAGUGACGGUAAUGGGUAAAGAAGCACCGGCUAACUACGUG